UACGGGGGGGGUAAGCGUUGUUCGGAAUUACUGGGCGUAAAGGGCGCGUAGGCGGACUCUUAAGUCGGUGGUGAAAUCCUGGAGCUCAACUCCAGAACUGCCUCCGAUACUGGGAGCCUUCGAGUCCGGGAGAGGUGAGUGGAACUGCGAGUGUAGAGGUGAAAUUCGUAGAUAUUCGCAAGAACACCAGUGGCGAAGGCGGCUCACUGGCCCGGUACUGACGCUGAGGUGCGAAAGCGUGGGGAGCAAACAGG
Molecule: ribosomal RNA, 254 nt
Filed under: uncultured bacterium
Lineage: Bacteria
Description: partial 16S ribosomal RNA
Rfam family: Bacterial small subunit ribosomal RNA
Source: RNAcentral